CUCCUCUUCUCUACAUCCUUCCUGCUCUCCUCUCUCUCCUCUUCACAUCCAAGGAGUUGGACGUCCAUCUGGCAAAGGUCCAAGGCGUGGUGACGCCUGGAAUAGGAAGGCUGCAGGAUAUCUUCGACAGGCUGCUGCUCCAACUUCAAAAGGAGUUCUAAAGCACUUCCAAAUCAGAUAGAGAUCUGAUUUUUGGAGCAUAGAUUGCCAAGGAGAAGAUGUUCCAGGUCCUAGCUGAGUGGAUAUCGGUAGAGGCCAGGCGCUUGCGUGGCUAUAUCAGAACCUCGGGCUAUGCUGAGAUCAUCUACAGGGUAAUCAGAUUAUCCUUGAGGUAUUAUUUAUUUC
RNAcentral lists this long non-coding RNA (345 nucleotides) under Elaeis guineensis (African oil palm). RNAcentral's name for it is "long non-coding RNA (EGUI_LNC008998)". Lineage: Eukaryota; Viridiplantae; Streptophyta; Magnoliopsida; Arecales; Arecaceae. The record is from RNAcentral.